RNAcentral lists this ribosomal RNA (496 nucleotides) under uncultured bacterium. RNAcentral describes it as "bacterial SSU rRNA". It matches the Rfam family "Bacterial small subunit ribosomal RNA", at positions 30 to 517 of the family's 1533-position model. The record is from RNAcentral.
AUUGAACGCUGGCGGCAGGCCUAACACAUGCAAGUCGAGCGGCAGCACGGGAGCUUGCUCCUGGUGGCGAGCGGCGGACGGGUGAGUAAUGCCUAGGAAUCUGCCUGGUAGUGGGGGAUAACGCUCGGAAACGGACGCUAGUACCGCAUACGUCCUACGGGAGAAAGCGGGGGACCUUCGGGCCUCGCGCUAUCAGAUGAGCCUAGGUCGGAUUAGCUAGUUGGUGAGGUAAAGGCUCACCAAGGCGACGAUCCGUAACUGGUCUGAGAGGAUGAUCAGUCACACUGGAACUGAGACACGGUCCAGACUCCUACGGGAGGCAGCAGUGGGGAAUAUUGGACAAUGGGCGAAAGCCUGAUCCAGCCAUGCCGCGUGUGUGAAGAAGGUCUUCGGAUUGUAAAGCACUUUAAGUUGGGAGGAAGGGCAUUAACCUAAUACGUUAGUGUUUUGACGUUACCGACAGAAUAAGCACCGGCUAACUUCGUGCCAGCAGCCG